AGUUCGAUCAGCUCAGAUUGGUUUGGCGGGAUGCUUUACACAUGCAUGCAAGUCGAACGGCAGCACGGACUUCGGUCUGGUAGCGAGUGGCGAACGGGUGAGUAAUGUAUCGGAACGUGCCCUGACGGGGGAUAUCACAGCGUAGCUAAUACCACGCUACGCCCUUCGGGGAAAGCGGGGACCUUCGGGCCUCGCACUAUUAGAGCGGCCGAUAUCCAGUUAGCUAGUUGGUGGGGUAACAGCUCACCAAGGCGACGAUCCGUAGCUGGUUUGAAGAGACGACCAGCCACACUGGGACUGAACCUGGCAGCUGAUCUACCAGGAGGCAGCAGUGGGAAUUUUGGACAAUGGGGAAACCCUGAUCCAGCCAUCCGCGUGUGCGAUGAGAGCCUUCGGGUUGUAAAGCACUUUUGGCGGAAAGAAACGGCACGGGACCAUUACCCCGUGCAACUGACGGUACCUGCAGAAUAAGCACCGGCUAACUACGUGCCAGCAGCCGCGGUAAUACGUAGGGUGCAAGCGUUAAUCGGAAUUACUGGGCGUAAAGCGUGCGCGGCGGUUCGGAAGAAAAGAUGUGAAAUCCCAGAGCUUAACUUUGGAACUGCAUUUUUAACUUGACUAGAGUGUCAGAGGAGGUGGAAUUCCGCAGUGUAGCAGUGAAAUGCGUAGAUAUGCGGAGGAACACCGAUGGCGAAAGGCGGCCUCGUAAGGAUAGCACUGACGCUCAUGCACGAAAAGCGUGGGGAGCAAACAGGAUUAGAUGCCACCGGUAGUCCACGCCCUAAACGAUGUCAACUAUUUGGGGCCUUCAGGCCUUGGUAGCGCAGCUAACGCGUGAAGUUGACCCGCCUGGGGAGAUGCAAUUCAUAGAUUAAACUCAAAGGUGACGGGGACCCACUAAGCAGUGGAUGAUGUGGAUUAAUUCGAUGCAACGCGAAAAACCUUACCUACCCUUGACAUGUCUGGAAUCCCGAAGAGAUUUGGGGUGCUCGCAAGAGGAGCCGGAACACAGGUGCUGCAUGGCUGUCGUCAGCUCGUGUCGUGAGAUGUUGGGUUGAUCCGCAACAGGCAGCCCUUUAUCAUUAGUUGCUACGAAAGGGCACUCUAAUGAGACUGCCGGUGACAAACCGGAGGAAGGUGGGGAUGACGUCAAGUCCUCAUGGCCCUUAUGGGUAGGGCUUCACACGUCAUACAAUGGUCGGGACAGAGAGGUCGCCAACCCCGCGAGGAGCCAAUCGAAACCCGAUCGUAGUCCGGAUCGCGGUCUGCCGCUCAGGCUGGUAGAAGUUAAGAUGCUAAUCGCCGGAUCAGCAUGUCGCGGUGAAUGGUCCCGGGUCAUUAUACACCACACCGCCCGUCACACCAUGGGAGUGGGUUUACCAGAAGUAGUUAGCUAACCCGUAAGGAGGGCGAUUACCACGGUAGGAUUCAUGACUGGGGUGAAGUCGUAACAAGGUAG
Molecule: ribosomal RNA, 1459 nt
Filed under: uncultured Bordetella sp.
Lineage: Bacteria; Pseudomonadati; Pseudomonadota; Betaproteobacteria; Burkholderiales; Alcaligenaceae
Description: partial 16S-23S ribosomal RNA intergenic spacer
Rfam family: Bacterial small subunit ribosomal RNA
Source: RNAcentral